Long non-coding RNA from Daphnia pulicaria, 272 nucleotides. RefSeq lists it as uncharacterized. The record is from RefSeq and is a predicted model, not a curated record. Lineage: Eukaryota; Metazoa; Arthropoda; Branchiopoda; Diplostraca; Daphniidae. The transcript is spliced from 3 exons.
UCGGAGUAUAAAAAGGUAGACUAGUUCGCUUGAAUUCAUCACAAGUUCUUCAAAUAUUUAAAAAAUCACUUUAGGCUUAGCGUCCAAGGCAGUAGCAGCCAAUCCACUAGCAGCAAUGGUUCCCCAAAAAAUGUCUUCCGUUUCCCUUUUCCUGGUGGUCGUUUCGCUCUUCGUUCUUAUUAACUUCACUGAUUUCGCUUACUGCGACUCGCUUAAAGACUGCAAACAUGGAUUUCGAUUGAAUAUAGAUGAUACCUGUUCGAGUCUUGCCC